Molecule: transfer RNA, 74 nt
Filed under: Colletotrichum orbiculare MAFF 240422
Lineage: Eukaryota; Fungi; Ascomycota; Sordariomycetes; Glomerellales; Glomerellaceae
Description: tRNA-Thr (TGT) (tRNA-Thr-TGT-24-1)
Rfam family: tRNA
About the family: Transfer RNA (tRNA) molecules are approximately 80 nucleotides in length. Their secondary structure includes four short double-helical elements and three loops (D, anti-codon, and T loops).
Source: RNAcentral
GGGCCGGUGGUCAAGUGGUAUGUCGCUCUGCCUUGUAGGCAGAGAGGUCGGUGGUUCGAAUCCACCCUGGUCCA